This 4404-nucleotide long non-coding RNA is filed under the name Sus scrofa (pig). Its description in RNAcentral is "lncRNA (ENSSSCG00000055788.1)". Lineage: Eukaryota; Metazoa; Chordata; Mammalia; Artiodactyla; Suidae. The record is from RNAcentral.
GGUACAGUCCAUUACUCUGUCGUUCCACAGGCUUUCCACCUCUGUCUCUUCUGGAUACAACAGGGACUGGUGUCCUUUGAUCGUGUACUUCUCCCCCAGGUCAGUGGCAGGCACUGCAGGCAGUGGAUGGUAAAAGUGGACAACCAUGUAAAAUACUCUCUCACAAAAGAGAACACUGUAUUUGAGCUGAUAAUGAGGGUAGCAGUCGCAUCAAUCAUUCAUAUGUUUAAAUCUAAGAAUAAGACAGACGGCUUGCUGCAAGCGUGGCUCGUAGAAAGGCAAAGACCCUAUUUUUAAAGACCAAAUGUUUCAUGCACUUCUACGUCUGACCUAGAAAGUGAUUUAUUUCUCCAUUUGCAAGAAUUAGUACUGAAAUUAAUAUUAAUCAAUGGCAAGGAAGAGCAGAAUGGAGAAUGGUCCUGUGAUGGAUGAUCACAAAAUUCUCCCUGCUGUGAUCUCUCGCUUUCAGAAAAGAGUGUUCCCACCCCUUCGUAUAUAUUCGCCUUGUUUGGAAGACUGCUUGUGAGCCUUAGAAUGGCCUUUACGUUAUAUUUGAGGUCCAGAGAAGUUUAGCAGUUAGUUAAGCUCACAUGGCUGGUUAGAGGCAGAGCUGGGCCUAAAGUCUUGGAUCGUUUCCCAGCCCAGUGCUCAUUCUACUGUAUCACACUGUGAAACUCUUAUGUUGAUCACUGUGAGUGCUUAAUAAAUACUAGACUUCUAACAGCAGCUUAUUUUCUCCUGAUUGCCAAGUAGUUUGUUGCAAUUCAUAUUUAUUUGAACUGAAAACCACUGCCUUCUGACGGCUAGUCUCUUGUUUAUAGGAAAUGAGUUGGUGGGCAAAUUCCAGCCCUGUUGGACAGCAGAACCCCUUACAGCAAAUCAGUGUCAGAAAUGGCACUUCAGGAGGAACACAUACCAUUUAUUUUGUACUCCCCAUGGAAUAGCACGAAGUGAUUUGCAAAUGUCUCAUUAAUCUUCACGAAACCCCUGCGUGAUAAUAAUAAUAUUAUUAUAAUGUUUAAGGAUAGAACUGUGGCAAAGCCGAUGGCUUCUUUGAGCAUGUGCAGAAGUUCCAUGCAGCUCAGCUUUCAAUAUUAGAGCCUAAGGAAAACUGUCAGCAAAGGUAAAUCUUGGUGUUUGGCCUUUCUCUGUUGCUCUGGACGUAGCUUGAGUUUCUUACUGAUGACAGUUGUGUUAGAAAUAGCUCACCAGAGGUUUGCCAGAUGGCAGGUAGCCUCUGGAAUUAGCCCAGAUGUGUUUGAAAGUACAACAGGGCAGGCCUAGAGAUUACCACUACUUACAAUUAUAGAUAAACGAAUGGAGAAAGAACACCUCUUAGGUGCGCGGCACUGUGCCAGGUGCUGUGGGAAUAUGAAGUUUGAACAUAGAUGUUGCCCUCAAUAGGCUGACAUGGACUUGGGACGAUGGGAUGUAAAUCCAGGUAAAUUUUUUUUCUUUUUAUGGCUCCACCUGCAGCAUAUGGAAGUUCCCAAGCUAGGGAUGGAAUCGGAGCUGCAGCUGUGGCCUAUGUCAUAGCCAUGGCAACACCUGAUCCCAGCUGCCUCUGUGACCUUGCUACAGCUUAUGGCUACACCAGAUCCUUAACCCACUGAGCCAGAUCAGGGAUCAAACCCACAUCCUCACAGAGAUAACACUGGGGGUUUUAACCUACUGAGCCACAAUGGGAAUUUCCUCCAGGAAAAUCUUUUUAUUCUUUUCUUUUCUCUUUGGGGCCACGCCGGCAGCAUAUGGGAAGUUCCCAGAGAGGGGUCUCACAGAGAUGUGGGAUCCGAGCUGCGUCUGCAACCUACACCAUAGCUCACAGCAAUGCUGGAUCCCUGACCCACUGGGCAAGGCCAGGGUUUGAACCUACAUCCUCAUGGAUACUAGUCGGAUUUGUUUCCACUGCGCCACCAUGGGAACUCCCUCCAGGAAAAUCUUAACAGCAGUAUUUGGUUAACAAGACAAGAUAGUGGUAUCAGAAGUGACACAAGAUACACUGUGACUCUUUGGUCUAUUCUAGCCAAACUGGUUGCCUUGUUGUUUCUCAAACAUAGCAAGCUGGUUUCUACGUCAUGAUCUUCAUACUUGCUCUUCUGCUGCUUGAAACACUCUUCCGCCUUAUUUUCACAUGGCUUUUUCCAUCACUUUAAGUCUCCUCUUCAUCAGAAAUGUUUCCCCUGACUACAACCACUCGAUUUCAAAGAAUUUCCCUUCCUCUCCCACCUUGAUAACUUUCUAACCUCUUACUUGCUUUAUUUUUCCUUAUUGCAUUUGUUUGCUUGAAAUUAUAUUUUGUCUUUAUUUGGUUACUUGUUUAUUGACUGUCUCUGACACUAAAACAUCAAACCCCCCCAAUGGCAGAGUUUUGACUUUUUCACUUCUACAUCACAAAAAUCUGGAACAGCCCCUGGCACAAUAAUGGAUGCUUAGUCAGCAUACCUUAAACGGAGGGGCAGAGUGAAUGUACAAGGCAUGUGAAGAUACAGUGAGGGAACUCGUUUUGCUGGUAUCAAGGGGUUAUUUUGGAGAAGUAUCUGUCCAGUUCCAGUUCUGUUUCCUAGAACCUACUGGGUUGUACAUAUAACAACAAGGAUCAUUUUUAAAAGUGUUACUUCCGCAGACGCGGCUCGGAUCCCGCGUUGCUGUGGCUCGGUGUAGGCUGGUGGUUACAGCUCUGAUUCGACCCCUAGCCUGGGAACCUCCAUAUGCUGUGGGAGCAGCCUAAGAAAUAGCAAAAAGACAAAAAAAAAAAAAGUGUUACUUCCCCCUGCUUCUCUCUUUUCCCUUCUCCCCAUCAUGGAUGGCUCUGUGCUACAGUCCAGAAUUAUAAACUCCCCACUGGACAGUCUUCCUGCAGAUACCCCAAACUUUAUAUUUAUAGCAUUAUACUCAUUAUCUCUCCUUCUCCAAGCUUGCUUCUCUUCCUGUUUUUCUUAUUUCAUGUGGGAAUAUGACAUCAUCCCUGAAUCGUUCCUCUGCCCCCCAUCUCCAGUCAGUCACUGAGUGCUUUCUACUCUCUCUCCAAGUCCCUCUCAGUUCUUCUCCACCUUUCCAGUCUCACCGCCAUGAUCAUUUCAUAACAGCCUCCCUGCUUUCUGUUUCUCUUUUAUGUGUUUCAUCUUCCAGGAAGUAGCCAAGUUAUUUUUGUAAAGCAUAGAUUUGGUGGCAUUGCUCUCAAGGGCUGCUGGGAUGAUUGAACCCUGGCCCUGACCUGUCCUUCUGGCAGCACUGUCUGUGUUCCUUCCACACCACUUGCUGGUCCCUGGACACACCACCCACUGACACAUCACCAAGCCAUCGCUCCUGCUAGCUGCGCAUGCUCUAACUCCUCAGACAUCUCAUCCACCUUUUCCGCAUGAGUGAACUCAGUCUUCAAGCCCAGCUUAGAGGUCAUCUCUUCUGAUAACCCCAACCUUGCUGUCAGCCACAGAGCUCCUUGGCAUUUUGUUCAGAGCUCCAUUAGAAGGUUUUACUGGACCAUAUUUAGUGUAUAUGAUAUGACCCAUGUCCCUAAGAGAAUAUGAAUUAACAUGAUGAGCAGUGAAUGCACUGUGCCAAGCCAGGACUGUGCCAAGCGAUUUAUAUGCAAUAACCCUCAACAGCCCUGUGGGUGGGUGACAUCACUACCAUACUAUUUCUGAGCACAGGGUGGUCACGUCUCUCCAGUAAGAUCCCACAGCCAGGAAAUGGUAGAACCAGGAUUCAAACUGGGAAGUCCGCAUUCUCAAGCCCUACCUUAGACCACAUCCAUGAGGAUUCAAGGGCUUGUCUCAUUCACCUUCAUAUUUCCAGUGUCCAAUAUUGCUAUACAAUAAAUGUGUUUUAAAUAGUAUAAUAGAAGAAAAAUGAUUAGGAAGCAGGAAUACUUAGUCAUUAAAAAACUGAUAGAUCACAAUGAAGGUAUUAUGCCGGUUCCUCCAUGCAAGGGUUAAAAAUGAGCUCUCUUGAACUUGUACCAUCAUUUUUAAGAAGAAAGAAUGAUGAUGCCAUAUAGUGGGAGGAAGUUACUCCACAAGUAGAUGCAGACUCCUGAGGGGUUCUUGAUCAGGAUUGGGAUGGCUCUCGGUGUGGCUGUGUUCCUCAGAAUGACCCAGAAGUCUGUGUUCUCAAAUGGCAGGUUGACUUUCAGAAAAAAAGUGUCUAUUCCUUGAAGACUGGAAUUCUGUCAGCAAAUAUGCCAACAAAAGAGUUAAAAGUAUUAUGUCAAGGCAAGCAUUUAAUUGAGUCCAAUGUUUCUUCUUGAGCCUCUGUGUAUAACGAAAUGCAGUCAGACUCUGAAACACCUGCAUGGCUUUUUCUGGUUCUGGUUAAUGUAUUGAAAAAUCAGGCACAGUCAUACCUCUAAGCAUAGAUGAAAUGUGCAAUUAAUGAUGAGACAAGCAGUAAAGCUCCCUGGUAUGU